GAUUCAUCUGUGAUGUCCCAAAUGACAGGCUUUCUUUCUUUUUCCAGGCUGAGUAAUACUCCUUUGUUUCUUUACUGGAAGGGAUAUCAGAUACUCUAAUCCCAUAAUGCCUCAGGGGAACCAGAGUGGUGGAAACAUUAAAUGGUAUGUCUGAUGAGAAGCUGUGCUUUACAUGAAUCAUUGACUAAAAAAAGAACAGGAACAUAAAUUCUGAAGCAUGCAUGAAUGCAUCUUGAAAGCAUGAUGGAUUUCCCUUGAGCUGCCUUGGUGUCCUGUGCCCUGCAUCUUCAAGACAGUCAACCAUGUCUUAAACUCACAGUUGUGCAUCCAGAGGAAGAUGAGCAGUAGAAUAAUCUCUGGUGUAGGAUUUAAAAAUUUGCUUUCUGCUGUCUGUAGGACCUUGGGCAAUUUAAAGCUUAUCUCUAGCUGCCUUAAUCUCCUCAUAAAGAAAAAUAGGUCUACUAUCUAUAAUAUCUAUACUAUCUCUUUGUUGGCAAGACCAAUUCUAGUUAUCUUCUAUGGGCUAUAAGACAUAUAUGACCCAUACUUUUUAAAAGAAAAGACUUAUGUAUUUGUAAUGGAUUGUUUUGAAUGAGCUUUUUUAUUAUCUAAAAAUAUCCAUUAUUUUUGUAUUAAUGGUAAUAUUGAUUUUUUUGGUUGGUUGACAUUUAUUAGUUACUGAAGGCUAUAUUCAUUCAAUAAAUACUUAUU
Long non-coding RNA from Cebus imitator (Panamanian white-faced capuchin), 711 nucleotides. RefSeq lists it as uncharacterized. The transcript is spliced from 3 exons. The record is from RefSeq and is a predicted model, not a curated record. NCBI's taxonomy places the organism in Eukaryota, Metazoa, Chordata, Mammalia, Primates, Cebidae.